RNAcentral lists this long non-coding RNA (3429 nucleotides) under Triticum aestivum (bread wheat). Its description in RNAcentral is "long non-coding RNA (TAES_LNC000854)". Lineage: Eukaryota; Viridiplantae; Streptophyta; Magnoliopsida; Poales; Poaceae. The record is from RNAcentral.
UUUUUAUGGGAACAGGUACGUAUUAUCUCGUAUGUGGUAACAGGGACGUGGAGAACUUUUUUAGAUUAGACUCCUUUUGAUAACGUGGGGUUCUUUUUUGUAGGGGCAAUGUAGGUGUUGAGUAUUUUUUUUCCAUAACAAAGGAAGGCAAGUGGAUUUUGUGUUAGCUGAAAGAUAACAUGGUUGUUGAGGACUCUUCGAUGUACGUGGUGGUUUAAUCAGUUUUUUGUACGUGCUAUUUUUUCUAUUAAAUAUCUUAUAUGGUCCUCUAAUAAAUCUUGACUAUUAAAUAUUGUACAUAUCUCUUUUCCAUCAUAAAGGGAGAUGGCACGUGGAUUUGUAUAGCUUGAAAACUAAUAAAAACUUGCAAGCAAAGAAAGUGAAUGUGCGUGUUUUUAUAAUAUAUCUUGACCAUUAUUUUUUUUAUCUAAUGGCUACGUUAAUCCUGCUGAUGUGGAUUAACGUGAUGACUCGAAUGGUGCCUCCAAUUAGUAAAUAUAAUAUGUUUUAGAUACCUUUCAAGUUUGUGUCUGAUGACCCACAAGUAUAGGGGAUCUAUCGUAGUCCUUUCGAUAAGUACGAGUGUCGAACCCAACGAGGAGCAGAAGGAAAUGACAAGAUGUUUUCAGUAACGUAUUCUCUGCAAGUACUGAAAUUAUCGGUAACAGAUAGUUUUGUGAUAAGGUAAUUUGUAACGGGUAACAAGUAACAAAAGUAAACAAGGUGCAGCAAGGUGUCCCAAUCCUUUUUGUAGCAAAGGAAAAGCCUGGACAAACUCUUAUAUAAAGGAAAACGCUCCCGAGGACACAUGGGAAUUAUCGUCAAGCUAGUUUUCAUCAUGCUCAUAUGAUUCGCGUUCGUUACUUUGAUAAUUUGAUAUGUGGGUGGACCGGUGCUUGGGUACUGCCCUUCCUUGGACAAGCAUCCCACUUAUGAUUAACCCCUCUUGCAAGCAUUCGCAACUACAACAGAAGUAUUAAGGUAAACCUAACCAUAGCAUGAAACAUGUGGAUCCAAAUCAGCUCCUUACGAAGCAACGCAUAAACUAGGGUUUAAGCUUCUGUCACUCUAGCAACCCAUCAUCUACUCAUUACUUCCCAAUGCCUUCCUCUAGGUCCAAACAAUGGUGAAGUGUCAUGUAGUCGACGUUCACAUAACACCACUAGAGGAAAGACAACAUACAUCUCAUCAAAAUAUCAAACGAAUACCAAAUUCACAUGACUACUUAUAGCAAGACUUCUCCCAUGUCCUCAGGAACAACCAUAACUACUCACUAAUCAUAUUCAUGUUCAUAAUCAGAGGGGUAUUAAUAUGCAUAAAGGAUCUGAACAUAUGAUCUUCCACCAAAUAAACCAACUACCAUCAACUACAAGGAGUAAUCAACACUACUAGCAACCCACAGGUACAAAUCUGAGGUUUUGAGACAAAGAUUGGAUACAAGAGAUGAACUAGGGUUUGAGAUGAGAUGGUGCUGGUGAAGAUGUUGAUGGAUAUUGACCCCCUCCCGAUGAGAGGAUCGAUAGUGAUCCCGAUGGUGAUGAUUUCCCCUUCCGGAGGGAUGUUUCCCCGGCAGAACAGCUCUGCCGGAGCCCUAGAUUGGUUUCGCCAGGUUCCGCCUCGAGACGGCGGCGCUUCGUCCUGAAAGCUUCCUUCUAAUUUUUUCCAGGGCAAAAGACUUCACAUAGCAAAAGAUGGGCACCGGAGGCCUGCCAGGGGGCCCACGAGGCAGGGGGCGCCCCGGGGGGUAGGGCGCGCCCCCAACCCUCAUGGACAGGGUGUGGCCCCCCUCUGGUGCUUUCUUCGCCCAAUAUUCUUAAUAUAUUCCAAAAAAGACUUUCGUGGAGUUUCGGGACUUUUGGAGUUAUGCAGAAUAGGUCUCUAAUAUUUGCUCCUUUUCGAGCCCAGAAUUCCACUUGCCGGCAUUCUCCCUCUUCGCGUAGACCUUGUAAAAUAAGAGAGAAUAGGCAUAAGUAUUGUGACAUAAUGUCUAAUAACAACCCAUAAUGCAAUAGAUAUUGAUGUAAAAGCAUGAUGCAAAAUAGACGUAUCAACUCCCCCAAGCUUCGACCUCGCUUGUCCUCAAGCGGAAGCCGAUAAGGAAAAAUAUGUCCACAUGUUUAGAGAUAGAGGUGUCGAUAAAAUAAAAUACGGACAUGAGGGCAUCCUGAUCAUUCUUGUAACAACAAUAUAUAUAUAUAUAUAUAUAUAUAUAUAUAUAUAUAUAUAUAUAUAUAGUCAUAUGAUUUCUUAUGCUAAAGUAACAAUCUAUUCACAAUGUAAAGUAUGAAUCAGAAACUUCAUUGAAAACUAACAAACUACAAUCUCAGUCAUUAAAGAAAUUGCAAUUUAUCAUAACAUCUGAAAGAGUCAAUAUAAGAGCUUUUCAGCAGGUCCACAUACUCAACUAUCAUUUAGUAUUUCACAAUUGCUAACACUCAUGCAAUACUUAUGGGUAUGGAGUUUUAAUCGGACACAGAGAAAGAUAGGGACUUACAGUGUUGCCUCCCAACCUUUUACCUCAAGGGUAAUGUCAACAAUAGAAGUUUAUGAUAACUUACAUCCAAUUUGAUAUAUAUAUCAGGAUCUUUCCAACACAAUGUGCUUGCCAAAGAAUAAAGUGUAAAAAGGAAAGGUGAAGAUCACCGCGACUCUUGCAUAAGGUAUAAGUCAAAAAUAAAAGACAGGCAUUUCGUAGAGGGAAGCAGAGGUUGUCAUGUGCUUUUAUGGUUGGAUGCACAAAAUCUUAACACGAAAGAACGUCACUUUAUAUUGCCACUUGUGAUAGGGACCUUUAUUAUGCAGUCCGUCGCUUUUAUUUCUUCCAUAUCACAAGAUCGUAUAAAGCUUAUUUUCUCCACACUAAUCGAUCAAACAUAUUUAGAGAGCAAUUUUUAUUGCAUGCAACAAUGACAACUUACUUGAAGGAUCUUACUCAAUCCAUAGGUAGGUAUGGUGGACACUCAUGGCAAAACUGGGUUUAAGGAUAUUCGGAAGCACAAGUAGUAUCUCAAAUUGGUGCAAAGAAUUUGGCUAGCAUGAGGGGGAAAGUCAAGCUCAACGUGUUGGAUGACUACAUUAAUUUUUUAAUCUAAUGGCUACAUUAAUGACCACUAAUUUUUAAUUUGAUGGCUACAUUAAUCCUGCUGAUGUGGAUUAACGUGAUGACUUGAAUGGUGCCUCCAAUUAGUAAAUAUAAUAUGUUUUAGAUACCUUUCAAGUUUGUGUCUGAUGACCCACAAGUAUAGGGGAUCUAUCGUAGUCCUUUCGAUAAGUACGAGUGUCGAACCCAACGAGGAGCAGAAGGAAAUGACAAGCGGUUUUCAGUAACGUAUUCUCUGCAAGUACUGAAAUUAUCGGUAACAGAUAGUUUUGUGAUAAGGUAAUUUGUAACGGGUAACAAGUAACAAAAGUAAACAAGGUGCAGCAAGG